RNAcentral lists this unclassified non-coding RNA (335 nucleotides) under Hevea brasiliensis (rubber tree). The record is from RNAcentral. Lineage: Eukaryota; Viridiplantae; Streptophyta; Magnoliopsida; Malpighiales; Euphorbiaceae.
AUUCUCUUGUGCAUACUCAUAAAAUUAGUCUUGCUUCAGUAGAUACUGAUCUAAUUAACGUUCUCAGCAGUUUGACCAUAGAUACUGCAAUGAUGAUUCUUCAGAAGCUGCACAAGUUGUCAUUCACUUGUUAUGAUCCUCUGUCUUUUAUAAAGAAACAAUUACAUGUUCCAGGAAGAAACCUUAAGAAGCCUUCCAUGUCAUCACGCAAAAACUACACAGAUCAUAAUAUAACGAAUUGUCAUAGGGCCUUAAUUACACCAUCAAAAAUUUACUGCUUGGGUCCUGAGCUUGAAACCUCUAACUAUGUUGUAAAAAACUUUGCAUCGUAUGCU